Molecule: small RNA, 125 nt
Filed under: Marmota monax (woodchuck)
Lineage: Eukaryota; Metazoa; Chordata; Mammalia; Rodentia; Sciuridae
Source: RNAcentral
GCCAGGCGCAGUGGUGCACACCUGUAAUCCAAGCGGCUCAGGAGGCUGAGACAGGAGGAUCGCGAGUUCAAAGCCAGCCUCAGACAUGGCAAGGCAUUAAGCAACUCAGUGAGACCCUGUCUCUA